Molecule: ribosomal RNA, 509 nt
Filed under: uncultured bacterium
Lineage: Bacteria
Description: bacterial SSU rRNA
Rfam family: Bacterial small subunit ribosomal RNA
Source: RNAcentral
CUACGAGUUUGAUCAUGGCUCAGAUUGAACGCUGGCGGCAUGCCUUACACAUGCAAGUCGAACGGCAGCGACGGGGGCAACCCUGGUGGCGAGUGGCGAACGGGUGAGUAACAUAUCGGAACGUGCCCAAUCGUGGGGGAUAACGUAGCGAAAGUUACGCUAAUACCGCAUAAGCCCUGAGGGGGAAAGUGGGGGGACCGCAAGGCCUCACGCGAAUGGAGCGGCCGAUGUCAGAUUAGCUAGUUGGUGGGGUAAAGGCCCACCAAGGCGACGAUCUGUAGCGGGUCUGAGAGGAUGAUCCGCCACACUGGGACUGAGACACGGCCCAGACUCCUACGGGAGGCAGCAGUGGGGAAUAUUGGACAAUGGGCGAAAGCCUGAUCCAGCCAUGCCGCGUGCGGGAUGAAGGCCUUCGGGUUGUAAACCGCUUUUGGCAGGAACGAAACGGUGCGGGCUAAUACCUCGCGCUAAUGACGGUACCUGCAGAAUAAGCACCGGCUAACUACGUG